CGCGGGGAAACUGAGGCAGAGAGAUGGGUUCCAAGGCCAAGAAGCGCGUGCUGCUGCCCACCCGCCCAGCGCCCCCCACGGUGGAGCAGAUCCUGGAGGAUGUGCGGGGUGCGCCAGCAGAGGAUCCAGUGUUCACCAUCCUGGCCUCGGAAGGUAGGGGGAGCCCGGUCCCAGGGAAAAGCGGACCCGAGACCCCGGCAGCAAGGGGACGGGAGAGAAACACACCCCUAACUCCUGACCCCACGCCCUGGGAACCCCAGUAACAUGGGCACAGUCCGUAUCCUCUCCGAGCCUCCCUCUACUCUGUAGAGUGGGACCGAUUUUCAGAGGGUUCUUCUGACAGGGGAGGAGGCCAGGCGCUGUGGUUCAGGCCUGUAAGCCCAGCACUUUCGGAGGAUCGCUUGAGCCCAGGAGUUUGAGACCAGCCUGGCCAACAUGGUGAAACCCCGUCUCUGCUAGAAAUGCAAAAA
RNAcentral lists this small RNA (470 nucleotides) under Pongo abelii (Sumatran orangutan). RNAcentral describes it as "retained intron". Lineage: Eukaryota; Metazoa; Chordata; Mammalia; Primates; Hominidae. The record is from RNAcentral.